Molecule: ribosomal RNA, 241 nt
Filed under: uncultured bacterium
Lineage: Bacteria
Description: partial 16S ribosomal RNA
Rfam family: Bacterial small subunit ribosomal RNA
Source: RNAcentral
UGAGGAACAUGACUUUCGGCGGGGGAUAGCCGGCCCAACGGCCGGGUAAUACCGCGUACGACCUUUUGGGGACAUCCCCGAUUGGUGAAAGCAGCAAUGCGCCGAAAGAGUGCCUCGCAGCCUAUCAGCUAGUUGGUGAGGUAACGGCUCACCAAGGCGACGACGGGUAGCUGGUCUGAGAGGAUGGCCAACCACAUUGGGACUGAGACACGGCCCAGACCUCCGUACGGGAGGCAGCAGG